Molecule: ribosomal RNA, 1432 nt
Filed under: Mycolicibacterium mageritense
Lineage: Bacteria; Bacillati; Actinomycetota; Actinomycetes; Mycobacteriales; Mycobacteriaceae
Description: Mycobacterium mageritense 16S ribosomal RNA
Rfam family: Bacterial small subunit ribosomal RNA
Source: RNAcentral
AGUCGAACGGAAGGCCCUUCGGGGUGCUCGAGUGGCGAACGGGUGAGUAACACGUGGGUGAUCUGCCCUGCACUUUGGGAUAAGCCUGGGAAACUGGGUCUAAUACCGAAUAGGACUCCGGACUGCAUGGUCUGGGGUGGAAAGCUUUUGCGGUGUGGGAUGGGCCCGCGGCCUAUCAGCUUGUUGGUGGGGUGAUGGCCUACCAAGGCGACGACGGGUAGCCGGCCUUGAGAGGGGUGGACCGGCCACACUGGGACUGAGAAUUACGGGCCCAGACUCCUACCGGGGAGGGCAGGCAGUUUGGGGAAUUAUUGCCACACAUUGGGGCGCCAAGCCUUGAAUGCAGGCGACGCCGCGUGAAGGGAUGACGGCCUUUCGGGUUGUUAAACCUUCUUUCAGCACAGACGAAGCGCGAGUGACGGUAUGUGCAGAAGGAAGGACCGGCCCAACUACGUGCCAGCAGCCCGCCGGUAUUACGUAGGGUCCGAGCGUUGUCCGGAAUUACUGGGCGUAAAGAGCUCGUAGGUGGUUUGUCGCGUUGUUCGUGAAAACUCACAGCUUAACUGUGGGCGUGCGGGCGAUACGGGCAGACUGGAGUACUGCAGGGGAGACUGGAAUUCCUGGUGUAGCGGUGGAAUGCGCAGAUAUCAGGAGGAACACCGGUGGCGAAGGCGGGUCUCUGGGCAGUAACUGACGCUGAGGAGCGAAAGCGUGGGGAGCGAACAGGAUUAGAUACCCUGGUAGUCCACGCCGUAAACGGUGGGUACUAGGUGUGGGUUUCCUUCCUUGGGAUCCGUGCCGUAGCUAACGCAUUAAGUACCCCGCCUGGGGAGUACGGCCGCAAGGCUAAAACUCAAAGGAAUUGACGGGGGCCCGCACAAGCGGCGGAGCAUGUGGAUUAAUUCGAUGCAACGCGAAAGAACCUUACCUGGGUUUGACAUGCACAGGACGCCGGCAGAAGAUGUCGGUUCCCUUGUGGCCUGUGUGCAGGUGGUGCAUGGCUGUCGUCAGCUCGUGUCGUGAAGAUGUUGGGUUUAAGUCCCGCAACRAGCGCAACCCUUGUCUCAUGUUGCCAGCACGUUAUUGGUGGGGACUCGUGGAGAGACUGCCAGGGGUCACACCUCGAGAGGAAAGGUGGGGAUAGACGUCAAGUCAUCAUGCCCCUUAUGUCCAGGGCUUCACACAUGCUACAAUGGCCGGUACAAAGGGCUGCGAUGCCGUGAGGUGGAGCGAAUCCUUUCAAAGCCGGUCUCAGUUCGGAUCGGGGUCUGCAACUCGACCCCGUGAAGUCGGAGUCGCUAGUAAUCGCAGAUCAGCAACGCUGCGGUGAAUACGUUCCCGGGCCUUGUACACACCGCCCGUCACGUCAUGAAAGUCGGUAACACCCGAAGCCGGUGGCCUAACCCCUUGUGGGAGGGAGCCGUCGAAGGUG